UGCAAGUCGUGGGGCAGCAGGUUUGUAGCAAUACAGAUGCUGGCGACCGSCAAAMGGGUGCGGAACACGUACGCAACCUCCCUCUUUCUGGAAGAUAGCCCACCGAAAGGUGGAUUAAUACUCCAUAAUAUAUUGAAGUGGCAUCACUUUAAUAUUAAAGCUCAGGCGGAAAGAGAUGGGCGUGCGUCUGAUUAGGUAGUUGGCGGGGUAACGGCCCACCAAGCCUGCGAUCAGUAGCUGAUGUGAGAGCAUGAUCAGCCACACGGGCACUGAGACACGGGCCCGACUCCUACGGGAGGCAGCAGUAAGGAAUAUUGGUCAAUGGACGCAAGUCUGAACCAGCCAUGCCGCGUGGAGGAUGACGGUCCUCUGGAUUGUAAACUUCUUUUCUCUGGGACGAAACCCCCGAUCUCUAUCGGGCCUGACGGUACCAGAGGAAUAAGCACCGGCUAACUCCGUGCCAGCAGCCGCGGUAAUACGGAGGGUGCAAGCGUUAUCCGGAUUCACUGGGUUUAAAGGGUGCGUAGGUGGGCAGAUAAGUCAGUGGUGAAAUCUCUGGGCUUAACCCGGAAACUGCCAUUGAUACUAUUUGUCUUGAAUUCUCUGGAGGUAAGCGGAAUAUGUCAUGUAGCGGUGAAAUGCUUAGAUAUGACAUAGAACACCCAUUGCGAAGGCAGCUUACUACGGAGACAUUGACACUGAGGCACGAAAGCGUGGGGAUCAAACAGGAUUAGAUACCCUGGUAGUCCACGCCCUAAACGAUGAUUACUCGACAUUAGCGAUAUUACUGUUAGUGUCUAAGCGAAAGCAUUAAGUAAUCCAYCUGGGAAGUACGACCGCAAGGUUGAAACUCAAAGGAAUUGGCGGGGGUCCGCA
RNAcentral lists this ribosomal RNA (876 nucleotides) under uncultured bacterium. Its description in RNAcentral is "bacterial SSU rRNA". It matches the Rfam family "Bacterial small subunit ribosomal RNA", at positions 56 to 925 of the family's 1533-position model. The record is from RNAcentral.